Molecule: long non-coding RNA, 464 nt
Organism: Ornithodoros turicata
Lineage: Eukaryota; Metazoa; Arthropoda; Arachnida; Ixodida; Argasidae
Exons: 2
Source: RefSeq, a predicted model, not a curated record
CGCAGGCGUCUCUUCGAAAGUGUGUGCCGUAUAGCCUCGCGGCCGGUAUGCGGUGGGCGCUUAGCAAUCAGGGAAGCAGUGUCAGUUCUCCCUCAUCCCCGGAUACAAGUUCGGAUAACUCCCUGCUAUGAAUUUUCCCACAGUUACUACCCACAACACUACCUCAAGGGAAUACGAAAACUACAAAGGUAAGGAUGGAAAGUCGCAAGCCUUCGGUAGUCGUGCUGGAGGAGCCCUCGAGACCAUAUGUCGAAGCCUUUAAGAAAGCCGUGAAAGGAACGAAGCCCCGCCGCGUGUGAAUCCCUACCAGUGGGGGAAAGCUAUUCACCCAAGGCCGAGCAGGACAGGGUUCCAUUUCCGUUGUGCAACGCGAAAAACAUUUCGGUCGAUGGCUACGGCAAGACCCCAUAAGUGAGCAGUGAACGUAUCCUGUUCGUAUAAAGACUGUAGUUCUUGCACAGUGA